RNAcentral lists this ribosomal RNA (500 nucleotides) under uncultured bacterium. RNAcentral's name for it is "partial 16S ribosomal RNA". It matches the Rfam family "Bacterial small subunit ribosomal RNA", at positions 29 to 523 of the family's 1533-position model. The record is from RNAcentral.
AUUGAACGCUGGCGGCAUGCCUUACACAUGCAAGUCGAGCGGCAGCGCGGGGGCAACCCUGGCGGCGAGCGGCGAACGGGUGAGUAAUACAUCGGAACGUGUCCUGUCGUGGGGGAUAACCAGUCGAAAGACUGGCUAAUACCGCAUGAGAUCGAAAGAUGAAAGCGGGGGACCGCAAGGCCUCGCGCGAUUGGAGCGGCCGAUGUCGGAUUAGCUAGUUGGCGGGAUAAAAGCCCACCAAGGCGACGAUCCGUAGCUGGUUUGAGAGAACGACCAGCCACACUGGGACUGAGACACGGCCAAGACUCCUACGGGAGGCAGCAGUGGGGAAUUUUGGACAAUGGGGGCAACCCUGAUCCAGCCAUGCCGCGUGUGUGAAGAAGGCCUUCGGGUUGUAAAGCACUUUCGGCCGGAACGAAAUCGCGCGGAUUAAUAACCCGCGUGGAUGACGGUACCGGAAGAAGAAGCACCGGCUAACUACGUGCCAGCAGCCGCGGUAA